UGACGCUGGCGGCAGGCCCUACACAUGCAAGUCGAGCGGUAACAGGAGAAAGCUUGCUUUCUUGCUGACGAGCGGCGGACGGGUGAGUAAUGUAUGGGGAUCUGCCCGAUAGAGGGGGAUAACUACUGGAAACGGUGGCUAAUACCGCAUGACGUCUACGGACCAAAGCAGGGGCUCUUCGGACCUUGCGCUAUCGCAUGAACCCAUAUGGGAUUAGCUAGUAGGUGAGGUAAUGGCUCACCUANGCGACNAUCUCUAGCUGGUCUGAAAUAUGAUCANC
This 280-nucleotide ribosomal RNA is filed under the name Proteus vulgaris. RNAcentral's name for it is "partial 16S ribosomal RNA". It matches the Rfam family "Bacterial small subunit ribosomal RNA", at positions 32 to 308 of the family's 1533-position model. The record is from RNAcentral. Lineage: Bacteria; Pseudomonadati; Pseudomonadota; Gammaproteobacteria; Enterobacterales; Morganellaceae.